RNAcentral lists this microRNA precursor (99 nucleotides) under Propithecus coquereli (Coquerel's sifaka). RNAcentral's name for it is "miRNA (ENSPCOG00000011205.1)". The record is from RNAcentral. Lineage: Eukaryota; Metazoa; Chordata; Mammalia; Primates; Indriidae.
GAGGUGGGAGGAUUGCUUAAGCCCGGGAAUUUGAGGUUACGGUGAGCUAUGAUGGCACCACUGCACUCCAGCCUGAGUGACAGAGCAAGACCCUGUCUC